This 503-nucleotide ribosomal RNA is filed under the name uncultured bacterium. Its description in RNAcentral is "bacterial SSU rRNA". It matches the Rfam family "Bacterial small subunit ribosomal RNA", at positions 28 to 576 of the family's 1533-position model. The record is from RNAcentral.
AACGAACGCUGGCGGCAGGCUUAACACAUGCAAGUCGAACGCCCGUAGCAAUACGGGAGUGGCAGACGGGUGAGUAACGCGUGGGAAUCUCCCCAAAGGUACGGAACAACUCAGGGAAACUUGAGCUAAUACCGUAUGAGCCCGAGAGGGCAAAGAUUCAUCGCCUUUGGAUGAGCCCGCGUUGGAUUAGCUAGUUGGUGGGGUAAUGGCCUACCUAGGCGACGAUCCAUAGCUGAUCUGAGAGGAUGAUCAGCCACACUGGGACUGAGACACGGCCCAGACUCCUACGGGAGGCAGCAGUGGGGAAUCUUGGACAAUGGGCGAAAGCCUGAUCCAGCCAUGCCGCGUGAGUGAAGAAGGCCUUAGGGUUGUAAAGCUCUUUUGCCCGGGAAGAUAAUGACAGUACCGGGAGAAUAAGCCCCGGCAAACUUCGUGCCAGCAGCCGCGGUAAUACGAAGGGGCUAGCGUUGUUCGGAUUUACUGGGCGUAAAGCGCACGUAGGC